Pogona vitticeps (central bearded dragon) is the source of this 1936-nucleotide long non-coding RNA. The record is from Ensembl. Lineage: Eukaryota; Metazoa; Chordata; Lepidosauria; Squamata; Agamidae.
AACAAGGUCAAGAACUUUAUUUUGAAUGUUUAGCUGAGACAUAGUAGAAAUGGUGGACAAAGCCAGAGUGUAGUUCAUAAUUUUUAUCUUAGAUAGCUGUUGAAUCUAUUGAUCUGAAGUUACAGCUUAUUCAGCAGGAAAUUAUGUUUUGUGGAUACCAACAUUUUUUUAGUAAAAGCAUGAGUAAGUCUGCGAAUUGUUGACAGCAUUUAGUUAUGAUGGCCUGUAAUACCUUUAGUGUUAAAUGCCAUAUGCUUCUAAAUCAGUUGCUGUAGAACAGCAGAAAAAAUGAUUGCUUUGUGGGCUUUCUAAGAGGCAUCAAGUAGGCCAUUUUGGGGGAAAAUGCUAAACUAGGUCAGGGGGCCAUUUGUGGAUUAGGGCAGGAAGUGCCUCAUCUCAAAAUUUUGGAGAACACCCCUCCAAUCUGAUCCAGCAAGGUUUCCCUUGACAAUCCUCCACACCUUACAAAGGCUUGUCAAAUGUUUGUCUUUUUAAAUUUCUGUGGUUCUAUAAAGUUUUUAUUUACUAUAAACUGCAAAACCUGUGUCACUGCAAAAGUAAAACCAACGCUAUGUUCCAGCUUGAACCGUGUUGAACUAAAAGGCACUGUGGUUGAAAAAGAAAAUAAAAAUGGAUAUAUUUCCUUAGCAUAUAUUUCAAAUAAAUUAGAAUUGUACUCUUUCAGCCUCACUUGCACCUCAACAAAAACGUAUGUGCAAAUAUCAAAAUUGUCACUGAGAAAGAAUGAACUAUCAAAAUUGAAGUGAAUUGUAAAGUUUCAAUGUUACGGAGCUGAUUUGUAAGUGAACAACAAAGAAAAAAAUUCUUAUUACUGUAAAACCAAUGUAGGCAUGUAUUAUUAGUACAGCUCAAAGGAGAUUGUAUAAGGGUCCAUUCACACAGUCCACUGGGGUUGCAGUUAUCACGUGCCACCUUUAAGUCUUUCUUUCAUCCAUGAUGUGAUUGGUAAUGUCCAUUUCAUAACCUUCAGCUAUUCUGUGACAACUGCAGUACUACAGGAGAUACAUGGAUGUGUAAAUUGUCCCCAGGUUUCUCACAUUAUUGGCAGGCUAACANNNNNNNNNNNNNNNNNNNNNNNNNNNNNGAAAUGGAGCAGGCAACCUAGCAGGUUCUUUCAUUCUUUGAUUUUUUGGGGGAGAAAAAUUCUGAUUCAGGCAAACAUUAUUGGAAUCCACAUAGGAUCGUUUCAGAGGUUGCCGCGAUUUCAUUCUUAAGAGAGUAUACAUAUCUUGUAAAAGUUUGUAAAGCACCUGCUACAGGAUACAUUAAAAGGAAAUUAAGACUGUUAUUAUGUGAUUUGUCUGUACUGCUCGAAUCAUCUCAUGUAAACAUCAUAGUGGCCCAUAACAUCCCUAAAUGCUUAAGCAUUCCGUAUGCAUGGCUAAGCAUUUUUUCUUCCAUGGAUGCCUCCUCAGCUCCAUGCAAACCUAUCUUUAAGUAUGACAUAUAAACAUGGAUGCCUCAUCCUAGCAAUGUGGGUGUUGUAGUGUAUGCACAGAGCUCCCCACUACCUAUUCAUACACAUCAAUGGGUAAAUCUUAUUAGUCUCAACUAGAGUAGAGCCGCGGAAUGAAUGAGACUUGUAAAGUCAACAAUUGUGUGAGACCCACUGAUUUAAUAGGCCUGAUUUGGUUGGGGCUAACUACUAAUUAUUAACCCAUUUAAUGGGUUAAUAAUUAAUGGAUGUAAAGCUGCCUUGAUAUUUGUGUCUGUAUCUCAGCAUGCAGGAGAGUCCAGUGUGUGAGCAGAUGUAAUCCAUAUACUGUUGAUAUUGGUGGAAACAUUCCCAAUGCUUUCAGAAUGUGUCAGUAAUUACUGGCCACAAUAUCUACCUUGUGGCCCCAGUCCCAUUGAUUGUAGUGGGACUUGGCUAGAAAUGGCUUUGUUGCCAAUAAAUUGUAGGUAUAAACAAGCA